AACCAGACUCCUACGGGAGGCAGCAGUGGGGAAUAUUGCACAAUGGGGGAAACCCUGAUGCAGCGACGCCGCGUGAAGGAAGAAGUAUUUCGGUAUGUAAACUUCUAUCAGCAGGGAAGAAAAUGACGGUACCUGACUAAGAAGCCCCGGCUAACUACGUGCCAGCAGCCGCGGUAAUACGUAGGGGGCAAGCGUUAUCCGGAUUUACUGGGUGUAAAGGGAGCGUAGGCGGUUUAGCAAGUCAGAAGUGAAAGCCCGGGGCUCAACUCCGGGACUGCUUUGGAAACUGUGCAUCUUGAGUACGGGAGGGGCAGGCGGAAUUCCUGGUGUAGCGGUGAAAUGCGUAGAUAUCAGGAGGAACACCGGCGGCGAAGGCGGCCUGCUGGACCGAAACUGACGUUGAGGCUCGAAAGCGUGGGGAGCAAACAGGAUUAGAUACCCCCGUA
RNAcentral lists this ribosomal RNA (446 nucleotides) under uncultured bacterium. Its description in RNAcentral is "bacterial SSU rRNA". It matches the Rfam family "Bacterial small subunit ribosomal RNA", at positions 329 to 792 of the family's 1533-position model. The record is from RNAcentral.